AACGAACGCUGGCGGCAUGCCUAACACAUGCAAGUCGAACGAGACCUUCGGGUCUAGUGGCGCACGGGUGCGUAACGCGUGGGAACCUGCCCUUAGGUUCGGAAUAACUCCCCGACAGGGGUGCUAAUACCGGAUAAUGUCUUCGGACCAAAGAUUUAUCGCCUUUGGAUGGGCCCGCGUUGGAUUAGCUAGUUGGUAGGGUAAAAGCCUACCACGGCGACGAUCCAUAGCUGGUCUGAGAGGAUGAUCAGCGACACUGGGACUGAGACACGGCCCAGACUCCUACGGGAGGCAGCAGUGGGGAAUAGUGGACAAUGGGCGAAAGGAUGAUGCAGCAAUGCCGGGUGAGUGAUGAAGGCCGUAGGGUUGUAAAGUUCUUUUACCCGGGAUGAUAAUGACAGUACCGGGAGAAUAAGCCCCGGCUAACUCCGUG
Molecule: ribosomal RNA, 433 nt
Filed under: uncultured bacterium
Lineage: Bacteria
Description: partial 16S ribosomal RNA
Rfam family: Bacterial small subunit ribosomal RNA
Source: RNAcentral